RNAcentral lists this transfer RNA (73 nucleotides) under Marmota monax (woodchuck). Its description in RNAcentral is "tRNA.Ala". It matches the Rfam family "tRNA". Rfam says of the family: Transfer RNA (tRNA) molecules are approximately 80 nucleotides in length. Their secondary structure includes four short double-helical elements and three loops (D, anti-codon, and T loops). Further hydrogen bonds mediate the characteristic L-shaped molecular structure. tRNAs have two regions of fundamental functional importance: the anti-codon, which is responsible for specific mRNA codon recognition, and the 3' end, to which the tRNAs corresponding amino acid is attached (by aminoacyl-tRNA synthetases). tRNAs cope with the degeneracy of the genetic code in two manners: having more than one tRNA (with a specific anti-codon) for a particular amino acid; and 'wobble' base-pairing, i.e. permitting non-standard base-pairing at the 3rd anti-codon position. Lineage: Eukaryota; Metazoa; Chordata; Mammalia; Rodentia; Sciuridae. The record is from RNAcentral.
UGGGGUUGUGGCUCGGAGGUAGAGCACUUGCCUAGCAUGUGUGAGGCCCUGGGUUCGAUCCCCAGCACCACAA